AAAGGUAAAACAUACGGCAGCGGAAGUAAUUCUGAGGAAAGUCCGGGCUUCACAAGGGACGGUAACUGCUAACGGCAGCCGAGAGUAAUCUCAGGGAUAGUGCAACAGAAAUAGACAGCCUGCUUUUGCAGGUGAUGAUGGAAAGGUGCGGUAAGAGCGCACCAGCGCCUUUGGUAACUUAGGCGGCUCUGUAAACCCUACCGGAAGCAACGCCCAUAUGAGAGCUAUGUGUCCCCUUGCACGCUCUUGGAGGCGGCGCGAGCUUUACGGCAACGUAAAGCCAAGAUAGAUUGUCGUUUAAUACAGAACCCGGCUUACGGUUUACCUUUUAGA
RNAcentral lists this RNase P RNA (333 nucleotides) under Clostridia bacterium. RNAcentral's name for it is "RNase P RNA component class A". It matches the Rfam family "Bacterial RNase P class A". Rfam says of the family: Ribonuclease P (RNase P) is a ubiquitous endoribonuclease, found in archaea, bacteria and eukarya as well as chloroplasts and mitochondria. The record is from RNAcentral. Lineage: Bacteria; Bacillati; Bacillota; Clostridia.